This 231-nucleotide ribosomal RNA is filed under the name Triticum aestivum (bread wheat). RNAcentral describes it as "partial small subunit ribosomal RNA". Lineage: Eukaryota; Viridiplantae; Streptophyta; Magnoliopsida; Poales; Poaceae. The record is from RNAcentral.
AUUCUGAAGUUCUUAAAUCGGCACGAUUGUUUUCCCAAUGCAAGUAUUGCAUGUUGAGUUAUGUUGACCACCUCCAUUACUGUUGCAUCAGCGGAACAAAGCUUUUCUAAAUUGAAGCUAUUGAAGUCCUAUAUGUGCACUACCAUGAACAAAGACAGAUUUGCCUACUUGAGAGUGAAGUAUUGGAAAAGAUUGAUUAUGGGGAUAUUAUUGAAGAUAUUAUUUAAAUGA